CGAGGGAGUUACCAUGGAAACGGUGCGGCAACUCUCCAACUGACGGCUGCAACACUGCGUCUCUCGCUGCUGUUUUCACCGUUUUCAGGAGUAACACUUCUACAACAGAAGAGAAGCUCCAAGAUAUCUACAUUUCUGAAGGAAGCUGCUGACAGAGAUGUGGGAAACAUAGGUUUCUCAUCCCAGUGUUACUACAGCUUGGAUCCAGCCUCACUUGUGGUUACUUCAGAUGAAGACCCCAGAUGAUGGCAACUAUAUGUGGCAGGGUGGGUGACGUAAUCUUUUCACAUUGACUCAUUAACGUGUGAUUAUCACCCAUAAUAGUCCAUUAGAAUCCGGGUAUUUAAGGCUGGAGUUAUGCCACUUGGUGUGCGUCACGGCUGGGGCUGCCCUUAUGGAGUGCGGGUGUACAGGUGCGUGCUGAAUGGCCACUUGAUGCUGUGCGUUGGGUUGCAGGUUGUCCACUACAUGUCAGCAGUGAAAUUCUUCGGUGACUGUGUCCUCCUGCACGAGAUUCUAUGCUUGUGAGCUGAGAGCAACGGUGCGAUUCAUGUGGCACCAUGAUUCAUUUGGGCACUGUCGGGCCCCUAGGCUGGGAGGCUGGCUGGCUUCGUGUACUGGUGGUGGUAUAAUCGGGUGGAGUGCAGUGCUGCUUGGAAUCACGCUUCACGUGUGUGUGUGAUGCACUAGUGUACAGAUCGGAUCUUCACUUCAGCUAGCCUGCCCUUGCCGUUUGGCCAGCCUAUGUUUGUUUCUUUGUUGUUUUUUUGUGAGUAUUUUUGAGUUGUUUCCUUACUUAGCGUCGUACCCAUGGUCACCAUUUGUGUUUUAUAUUGUGGCCCGACACGUGGCAUUGAUGCCAUUGGGGGGUUUUAAUGAUCUAUUGUAACAAUAAAAUAAAGCGUUUUGCGCAUUGUUCACACGCCUCUCAGGGUUUUACUUGAACCUGUGGUCUUUUCCCCGUUUCUUGACGGGGUGGCGUAGUCGUUUUUUUGUUUAAGUAUGCUCUGAUCCAUUUAUACAUUUUUUUUCCUCCCCUCUGCAUUGCCACAUAUAGAUGAACAUACCAACCUGACAAAUGUUAUGUAUUGUAAUCAUUGCCUUAAAGCAUACAUUGAGUGAUUUACAACCCACUUUGUAUUGUUACUAUGAUGGUAAUAUAUGUGAACGAACAAUGUUUAAUCUUUCUCUGAGUUCCAUGAGAUACAUCCAUUUAUUUGUCAGCCAAAUAAUAUUUAGCAUUAUCCGAGUAUUGUUUAUUUACAUAUUACAGACUUUGUGACAGUAUAAAGUGGAUUUAAAUUCACCAAACUUACCCUUUAAUGUUUGUCUGUUUAACUGAACAUGACUUUGAACACAUAACUUGUAUUAUCUUAGAGUUAUUGACAUAUAGACAUUAAUUUGUUGCCAGAAGAUGCUCCCCAUUGAGUCACAGUCACCUCAGGCUGUUGAUGGGAUUUUUUUUUGAAACCUUGAAAUUUUCUAAAGCUGCUUUGAUUGUGAAAAACAUUGUACCCUUACAACAGUCAACCAUGUUUUUACUAUGGUAAAACUAGUAAUCAUAACUAGUAAUCAGGGUUUUUUAGUUUUUCUCAAACUAAGGUUUUGAUACCAUGGUUCUACAAUAGUAAUAUUUUUGUAAUGCUGGAGUAAAACUGUGGUAACCAUAGUUUUUGAAACCAUGGUGAAGUUUGUAGUUACUAUAGGUUUACUACUAUGCUGUAGUAAGACCAUGGUUAUGGUAGUUACUGUGAAUUUACUACAACAAUCAUAGUUAAACCAUGGUUAAUUUUGUGGUUGACUUUUGUAUGGACAUAUGUGAAUUGAAUGCUUCUGUUUGAAAGUCACAUUGGAUAAAACUAUCUGAUAAAUAUA
Molecule: long non-coding RNA, 1875 nt
Organism: Onychostoma macrolepis
Lineage: Eukaryota; Metazoa; Chordata; Actinopteri; Cypriniformes; Cyprinidae
Exons: 5
Source: RefSeq, a predicted model, not a curated record